This 308-nucleotide ribosomal RNA is filed under the name uncultured eukaryote. Its description in RNAcentral is "partial 18S ribosomal RNA". It matches the Rfam family "Eukaryotic small subunit ribosomal RNA", at positions 1470 to 1796 of the family's 1831-position model. The record is from RNAcentral.
CCCUUAGACGUUCUGGGCCGCACGCGCGCUACACUGACGAAGGCAACGAGCUUUCCUUUACCGAAAGGUACGGGUAAUCUUUUGAAACUUCGUCGUGCUGGGGAUAGAUCCUUGCAAUUUUUGAUCUUAAACGAGGAAUGCCUAGUAAGCGCAAGUCAUCAACUUGCGUUGAUUACGUCCCUGCCCUUUGUACACACCGCCCGUCGCUGCUACCGAUUGAAUGGUUUAGUGAGGCCUUCGGAUCCGCGACUCGUUUUGUGGAGAAGUUGGACAAACUCAGUCAUUUAGAGGAAGUAAAAGUCGUAACA